This 477-nucleotide ribosomal RNA is filed under the name Triticum aestivum (bread wheat). RNAcentral's name for it is "partial small subunit ribosomal RNA". Lineage: Eukaryota; Viridiplantae; Streptophyta; Magnoliopsida; Poales; Poaceae. The record is from RNAcentral.
AUGAAGAAGGUUGCACACUAUUUCUCAGACCACUCAAUUUCAACCGUCAGCAACACUCCAUUGUCAGAAAUUCUGAAUAAUAGGGAUGCAACUGGUCAAGUGGCAAAGUGGGCAAUCGAACUCCUUCCUUUGGAUAUCAAGUUUGAGGCAAAGAAAGUCAUCAAGUCUCAAGCAAUAGCAGAUUUCCUCGCAGAGUGGAUUGAACAGCAGCAACCGACUCAGAUUCACUCGGAACAUUGUACUAUGUUCUUUGAUGGAUCCAAGAUGUUGAAUGGCUCUGUUGCAGGAGUGGUUUUAGUAUCCCCAAGAGGAGACAAGCUCAGCUAUGUCCUCCAGAUUCACUUUGAUUCUUCAAACAAUGAAGCUGAGUAUGAGACACUGUUGUAUGGGUUACGUAUGGCCAUUUCACUCGGCGUCCGACGCUUCAUGGUCUACGGUGACUCAUACUUAGUGGUUAAUCAAGUAAUGAAAGAAUGA